Gallus gallus (chicken) is the source of this 783-nucleotide long non-coding RNA. The record is from Ensembl. Lineage: Eukaryota; Metazoa; Chordata; Aves; Galliformes; Phasianidae.
AGAACAGAUGCUAUCCCUGGGAGAGGGAGCUCGUAACAAUCUUAGGGCAGCUGUCUGGUUUGCUGGAAUGAAAAGGCAUAGUUCUUUUUUUGCUUUAUUUGCCAUGCUGCAUGGUUAAGACAGACUUCUAAGAAGACAACUAUCAAGUUGGAAGGAAGUGUUGAUCUGCCUGAGGGUAGGAAGACCCUACAGAGUGAUCUGGGCAGGCUGGAUCGAUGGGCUGAGGCCAAUUGUGUGAGCUUCAACACAACCAAGUGCUGGGUCCUGCACUUUGGUCACAACAACCUCACGCAUCACUAUAGACAUGAGGCAUGGCAGCUGGAAAGCAGAGUGGAGGAAAAGAUUCUGGAGGUGUUGGUUGACAGCCAGCUGAAUGUGAGCCAGCAGUGUGCCCAGGUGGCCAAGAAGGCCAAUGCUAUCCUGGUUUGUAUCAGCAAUAGUGCAGCCAGCAAGAGCAGGAAGGUGACCGUUCCUCUUUACUCAGCUCUGGUGAGGCUGCACCUCGAGUGCUGCGUUCAGUUCUGGGCCCCUCACUGUAAGAAAGACAUUGAGGAGCUGGAAGAUGGGGCCUGCCUGAAUUAGGGAUUUAUUCUCCCUAUAAAUUCUGUGGAAAGAGUUAGGUGCGCUUACAGACCCAAAUCCUCUGCAUAAAGUGGGAAGCCUAUUCAAACAUUUCAACAUGGCACAUGACCUGUCUCAGAGGCAGAAGCAGGAACUAUUGCUGAAGGUAUCUGUCAGCACCAAUGUUGAAGGUGUGAUAGCUGCCACUGCUACAGACCCUAG